This is a long non-coding RNA of Ruditapes philippinarum (Manila clam), 1573 nucleotides long. RefSeq lists it as uncharacterized. The transcript is spliced from 3 exons. The record is from RefSeq and is a predicted model, not a curated record. NCBI's taxonomy places the organism in Eukaryota, Metazoa, Mollusca, Bivalvia, Venerida, Veneridae.
UUUAGCAUUUAUCUGUAUUUAUUUACUCUUAUUAUUUUCCUAAAAUUUAAAUACUAUAACACAAUUGAAUUAGUUUGUAAUGGUACAACAGUUAAAAAAUAGUUGCUUAAAAUUUUAGGGUCCAAGCCUGUAAACUGAGCCAAGCAAAAUAGAUGUGAUGGAGGAGACAAGUGAUAACAAACUAAUCAAAAGAAGAAAAUGUCAUAUCUUGGAUAAAAAUGGUUACCUUCAACAACUAGAUAUACUGGUCACAGUUAAAUUAAAUAUUGUUGUCAAGAAGAUUUUCCCUAUUCAUCGUAGAGGAGCAAUGGAACAUGUGCUUAAACUUUGCAUAAGUUUUGUUGAAACUUUCAUUUGAUAUACUGAAGAUGGUUGUUGAAUAUUGUUUGGUAACAAUAUCUAUAUGGCUAUAUGGCUGUAAAGAGAGAUGUUGAAAGGUGCAAUUUUAGUGCAAAAAUGUGCAUGUUUAACAACAUGUUGAAUGAACAAACAUUAUAAUGCAGUAAAACACUAGGAAGCAUUAUGUUUUCAAAACUUUAUAACAACUUAGUAAAUGUGUCGGAAUGUCCAUAUAUCCAUCCACCAAGAGGAGGUAUAUAUCUACAUGUUAGUGAAACUUAAUACAUUAUAGAUGGAUAAAUCUCAUUAGGGGAGAAAUGAUGUGUUGAAUUUUAAUAUGCCCGAAACAAUUUCGGGCAUAUUAUGUUAUACCCCCUGGCAUCUGUUCCUCCGUACGAACCCAGAGGUACUUGUGUGACUGGGUAUCAGUAUAUAAAUAACACAUGGGUUUGUUAGUAACAGUAAAAAUAUCAUCCCGAAGAAAAUACUGUUACCCAAGGAUGAUUGUCCAUAUUAUUAUUAGGUAGAAGACACCUAUUGAUUUUGAGGUCACAAGAUCAAAGGUCAAGAACUGAAAACAGUUUCCGGAGCAUAACUUAAGUUCCAUUUGGCACACAGUGUUCAAACUUCAUAGUAUGAUUGUCCAUAUUGGGUAGAAGACCCCUAUUGAUUUUGGGGUCACAAGGUCAAGGUCAUUAUUGCCUUAAAACUGAAAACAGUUUCCGGAGCAUAACUUAAGUUCCAUUUGGCCCACAGUGUUCAAACUUCAUAGGAUGAUUGUCUAUAUUGGGUAGAAAAUCCCUAUUGAUUUUGGGGUCACAAGGUCAAAGGUCAAGGUCAUUAUUACUUUAGAACUGAAAACAGUUUCCGGAACAUAACUUAAGUUUCAUUUGGCCCACAAUAUAAAAACUUCAUAGGAUGAUUGUCCAUAUUGGGUAGAAGACCCCUAUUGAUUUUGGGGUCACAAGGUCAGAGGUCAAGAUCAUUAUUACUUUAAAACUGAAAACAGUUUUCGGAACAUGACUUAAGUUCCAUUUGGCCCACAGUAUUCAAACUUUAUAGGAUGAUUGGCCAUAUUGGGUAGAACACCACUAUUGAUUUUGGGAUCACAAGGUCAGAGGUCAAGGUCACUAUUACUUUAAAAGUGAAAACAGUUUCCGGAGAAUAACUUAAGUUCCAUUUGGCCCACAUUUGGCCUAGCGGUGCUCUUGUUAGUUUUCAGCUCAAUUUUUUU